GGAGGUAUGGCUCAGUGGUAAGAGCACCUUCUUAGCAAGCAUGAAGACUCAAGUUCAAACUUCAGUACCAUCA
This 73-nucleotide transfer RNA is filed under the name Dipodomys ordii (Ord's kangaroo rat). It matches the Rfam family "tRNA". From Rfam's summary of the family: Transfer RNA (tRNA) molecules are approximately 80 nucleotides in length. The record is from Rfam by way of RNAcentral. Lineage: Eukaryota; Metazoa; Chordata; Mammalia; Rodentia; Heteromyidae.